This is a non-coding RNA of Sus scrofa (pig), 2272 nucleotides long. The record is from RefSeq and is a predicted model, not a curated record. Lineage: Eukaryota; Metazoa; Chordata; Mammalia; Artiodactyla; Suidae.
AGACAAAACCCCACCCUCGGGGUUAGAGGACGCAGUGGGGAGAAAGGGCGUGGGUGGGGUGGGGUCGUCCCCACUCUGGAUGCUCUGACCAGGUCGACCUGAAGCCUGGGGACCCUGGCUGCAAGUUCGAGAUUCUCCUUCUCCGUGUGGUCCUGGCAACUCCCCACUCUCAACCAUUAAGUUUUUUCUGUGUAACAUGACUGAGGUUUCAGAAGACAGGAUCUAGAAGUUUCUGCGGCUCAGCCUGGGAUUUUAGAUGCAGAGUGGCCUGGGAGGUGGGGUGCUAUGCGCCAUCACCCCAUUGAAUAGAUGGAGAGAGCCAGGCGCCGAAUGGGUCACAUUGCGAGUUGGGGACCAAGAAGAUUACUGCGGGAUGUCAGAAAUGGGCAGAAAUACUGUGCUGUCAGACCCUGGAGGAAUCCAGAAAAUUCUUAAGCCAGAGAAGACUUCGGGAGACCAUAGCGCCCACCCCCAUUUCACAGACGCGGCCACUGAGGCCCAGAAAAGAGAAGACACUUUGUUCAAGGCCACGCCCUAGGAACUAGAACCCAGAUCCUGAUCUGCCUUCACUCUGCCCCGGCUGUCUGCCCCACGCCAUCCCUGGGCCUUGGGGUGGGGUCCCCAUACUCACACAAGCCAUGACUGAGGAGACAAGGAUGUUCCUACAACUGCAGCACCAGCUGUCCGAAGACUCUACCGGAGAGAAGGGCCGCCGGCCUCUCCCACCCUUUUAACUGGACCAGACCCCGGUGAGUCCCGCCCCCUGGGGGCUCAGCCAAUUGUAAGUCAGGACAGGGAUGGGGGCCACGGGGAGGUGGAGUCAAUGGAAUUUUGAAGCCUGUUCUGGAGCAGAGGUGACCAAUCAGAGUGGAGACCCCCCCCCAAUUCCUUCCCAGCCACUCCCCCAGGAUCAAGACUCCACCUCCCAUUUUGCUUCAUCCUUCCCUACCCGCACCCCCGCCAAAUUGUGCUGUGGCAGGGAUUGGGGGAAACCAGUGGAAAAUAGUUUGAGGAUGAGCUAGACCCAAGCGUUGGUGGGAAGAGAGCCAGGGGCAGCUGCCUGAGUUCAGGGGGUACUAAGAGAAGGUGGCCGAGGGGGUGCAGGGUCCUUCAAAGAAUUAGUUCUGGGGUUUGCAAGGCUGCUCCCUGGAAGGAGCCAGGGCGUGGCCGGCUGUUGGGGGGGGCAAUCUCUGCGGAGGGCCCAGAACCAUUAACCACAGAGCCCCGGCCCCGCCCGGGCCUCCCCCGGAAGCAGGGAUUACUGCUGCUGCUCGUGCUCCUCACAAGGGCUAAAGAAAGACUGGGCUGGUGCCAGGCCUGAGGCUGCCGCCCAGGCUCAGGGCUCAGACCUCAGGCUUGGAGCCUCCCGAGGGGCCUGCAGGGGAUCCUCCAGGGGCCUCCGCCUGACAGCUUCUGGCCUCUAAGAGGAUAAGCCCUGGGAGGGCCCAGGGUGAGCCAGGCCAUGAGGGGUUGGGGUCCCUGGGCUGUGCACCCCCGUCCGCUCUCCUCACAUCUCUCCCUCUGACACCAGGCACAGCCUUUCCUUUCUCCAUCCAGUCAGCAGAUGCUUUACUGAUCCCUACUGCUCCUCGGUCCUUGCUCUCAGUGGCCCACCGUUGGGGCAGAAUCUCACCAUGAACCUGAGAAGUAGCAUGACGCUGGUUCUGAGCAAAGUGGUGAGAUGCUCCAGAACAGGAAGAAGGUGGGUCUCGAAGGAUGGACAAUGGAGCAGGGACUGGCAUUGCAGCAUGGGCCAAAGCUCAGAAAUGACAAAGCACACAUCUGGGGAACAGUGAGCAUGUGGGCAUGGCUGGAGUUUAGGGUGUGCUGGGGAAGAUGGGGCACGAGGCUGGGAGGCCAACUGGAUCAUGAAGGGCCUCACUGAAGGACUGGGGCAUUGUUUUGUCCCAAGGCACUAGGGAGCCACAGAAGGUUAUAGAGAGGGUGAAUACUGAGGCCAGAUUUAGGCUGCAGGAAAAUCGCCAUAGCACCAGAGGUGAGGGUGGAUCGGAGAGGGACUCACCUCAUCCUCAGAAAGCAGGUAGAGAGAGGGGCGUGGGGAGCCCUGGGCAAGGUGGGGGCUUGCUAAAGGAGUUACCCGUGGGGCCUCCUUCUGCAUAUCACCAUCCCCCUUCCGAAAUUGCCAGCACUGAACAAGGAGGAAGAUGCAGACCAGAAAUGACUCACAUCUGGAGGGCAGGCCAGCAAAUCCACCCUGCCCCGCGCGCCUCCACAGCCCGGCCUUGUCUCCCUCAUCUUCCUCCAGGUGGCC